Molecule: ribosomal RNA, 253 nt
Filed under: uncultured bacterium
Lineage: Bacteria
Description: partial 16S ribosomal RNA
Rfam family: Bacterial small subunit ribosomal RNA
Source: RNAcentral
UACGGAGGAUGCAAGCGUUAUCCGGAUUUAUUGGGUUUAAAGGGUGCGUAGGCGGACCAGUAAGUCAGUGGUGAAAUCUUUCGGCUCAACCGAGAAACUGCCAUUGAUACUGUUGGUCUUGAGUUCGGCAGAGGUAGGCGGAAUGUGUAAUGUAGCGGUGAAAUGCUUAGAUAUUACACAGAACACCAAUUGCGUAGGCAGCUUACUAUACCGACACUGACGCUGAGGCACGAAAGCGUGGGGAGCGAACAGG